RNAcentral lists this non-coding RNA (24 nucleotides) under Cricetulus griseus (Chinese hamster). The record is from RNAcentral. Lineage: Eukaryota; Metazoa; Chordata; Mammalia; Rodentia; Cricetidae.
UUGUUGACAGAGCAGGAAGGUAAC